This 219-nucleotide long non-coding RNA is filed under the name Mytilus galloprovincialis (Mediterranean mussel). Lineage: Eukaryota; Metazoa; Mollusca; Bivalvia; Mytilida; Mytilidae. The record is from RNAcentral.
CUUCUAACCGUGGGUUAUUCUUGUUGGGCGCCAAUGUAACCGGAGAGCACGAAUUUCAUUACAAAAUUGCUUGUCUCCACCGGGACUCGAACCCGGUACCUCUGUGUUACAAGGCAGCGCGCUAACCGACUGAGCUAAAGAAGUACUUCCUUAGCUCAACCGCUUACGGCUGACUAAGUAUCUACUAAGUUUUUCUAAGGGAAGCAAUCCCGUCACACA